AGAGUUUGAUCCUGGCUCAGGACGAACAUUGGCGGCGCGCCUAAUGCAUGCAAGUCGAGCGAACUCGUUUUCUUCGGAAAGCACAUAGUUAGCGGCGAACGGCCGAGUAACGCGUAAGUAACCUGCCUCGAAGAGGGGAAAAACUAUGAGAAAUCAUAGCUAAUUCCGCGUAAUGUCAGUUAAUUAAUUUAACUGAAGAAAGAUUUAUCGCUUUGAGAUGGGCUUGCGUCCUAUCAGGUAGUUGGUAAGGUAAUGGCUUACCAAGCCUAAGACGGGUAGCUGGAGUGAGAGCUUGACCAGCCAGAGGGGGACUGAGACACGGCCCCCACUCCUACGGGAGGCAGCAGCAGGGAAUCUUGCACAAUGGGCGAAAGCCUGAUGCAGCGACGCCGCGUGAGGGAUGAAGGUUCUAGGAUCGUAAACCUCUUUUCUUAGGGAAUAGUUUGGAAGGUACCUAAGGAAUAAGUCACGGCUAACUACGUGCCAGCAGCCGCGGUAAUACGUAGGUGGCAAAUGUUGUCCGGAAUCAUUGGGCGUAAAGGGUCCGUAGGUGGCAUGAAUAGUCUUAUGUGAAAUCUCUUGGCUCAACCAAGAAACGCCAUAAGAAACUUUCAUGCUAGAGAUCAUCAGAGGGAGGUAGAAUUCCAGGUGUAGUGGUGAAAUGCGUAGAUAUCUGGAGGAAUACCAAUGGCGAAAGCAGCCUCCUGGGGUGAAUCUGACAUUGAGGGACGAAAGCGUGGGUAGCAAACCGGAUUAGAUACCCGGGUAGUCCAUGCCGUAAACGAUGAAUACUGGGUCUUCGGGGAAUCGACCCCCUGUGGACCGAAGCUAACGCGUUAAGUAUUCCGCCUGGGGGGUACGGUCGCAAGACUAAAACUCAAAGGAAUUGACGGGGGCCCGCACAAGCAGCGGAGCGUGUGGUUUAAUUCGAUGGUAAACGAAGAACCUUACCUAGGUUUGACAUAUAAGUAGUACUG
Molecule: ribosomal RNA, 977 nt
Filed under: uncultured Chloroflexota bacterium
Lineage: Bacteria; Bacillati; Chloroflexota
Description: bacterial SSU rRNA
Rfam family: Bacterial small subunit ribosomal RNA
Source: RNAcentral